This 497-nucleotide ribosomal RNA is filed under the name uncultured bacterium. Its description in RNAcentral is "bacterial SSU rRNA". It matches the Rfam family "Bacterial small subunit ribosomal RNA", at positions 29 to 507 of the family's 1533-position model. The record is from RNAcentral.
AUGAACGCUGGCGGCAUGCCUAAGACAUGCAAGUCGAACGAAGUGGCCCAUUGAAGAUGGAGUGCUUGCACAAAGUCAGAUUUGGUUUACCACUUAGUGGCAGACGGGUGAGUAACACGUGGGUAACCUACCUCAAAGACUGGGACAACAGUUGGAAACGACUGCUAAUACCGGAUAAUCCAUAUUUAGAUAACUAGAUAUGUUAAAAGAAGCGUUUGCUUCACUUUGAGAUGGGCUUGCGGCGCAUUAGAUAGUUGGUGGGGUAAUGGCCUACCAAGUCGACGAUGCGUAUCCGAGCUGAGAGGCUGAUCGGACACACUGGGACUGAGACACGGUCCAAACUCCUACGGGAGGCAGCAGUGGGGAAUAUUGCACAAUGGGCGAAAGCCUGAUGCAGCAACGCCGCGUGAGUGAAGAAGGUCUUCGGAUUGUAAAACUCUGUCCUUGGGGAAGAAGAACUGACGGUACCCUUGGAGGAAGCCCCGGCUAACUACGUG